UACGGGGGGGGCAAGCGUUGUUCGGAAUUACUGGGCGUAAAGGGCUCGUAGGUGGCCAACUAAGUCAGACGUGAAAUCCCUCAGCUUAACUGGGGAACUGCGUCUGAUACUGGAUGGCUUGAGUUUGGGAGAGGGAUGCGGAAUUCCAGGUGUAGCGGUGAAAUGCGUAGAUAUCUGGAGGAACACCGGUGGCGAAGGCGGCAUCCUGGACCAACACUGACACUGAUGAGCGAAAGCAUGGGGAGCGAACAGG
Molecule: ribosomal RNA, 253 nt
Filed under: uncultured bacterium
Lineage: Bacteria
Description: partial 16S ribosomal RNA
Rfam family: Bacterial small subunit ribosomal RNA
Source: RNAcentral